This 1207-nucleotide long non-coding RNA is filed under the name Daphnia pulicaria. RNAcentral describes it as "uncharacterized LOC124316630, transcript variant X5". The record is from RNAcentral. Lineage: Eukaryota; Metazoa; Arthropoda; Branchiopoda; Diplostraca; Daphniidae.
GUUAAAUACGUUAGUACGUCUGCAGAGCUGCUCGUUGAUGGACAUGAAUCGCAACUCACCUCUCCCUUUGUUUUUCGAGCGGCGGAUUGGACCAUUGCAUGGACGUUAAGGCUGCCAACUAAACAUAACGUUUACUUUUUGCUCUAUCUUAGGAUCUGUGGUAUCCAUGAGUUUCCCGUCCCCCAACACGUGGUUGAAAUGAAAUAAUCAUCUUAGCUCAGGACUCCAUAGACUAAUAACUGGAAGACUCUGAGGAGGAGAUGGGCCAAUGCACUGAAAGACUAAAGCGCCAGAUGAUAAAAACAUUUCAAUCUCAUUCUGAUUCUCUAACUAAUGAACAUUUUAUUGAUUUCUACAGAUAUGGGAAAACAAUGAAGAAGAAUAUUUUCAUUACUGUCAUUGUAGUUGGCACGGCAGUGGUUUUCAAGCCCCGUUCUUACUUGAGCAAUGCCCAGAUUAAUAGCCUAAACCUGACAAAUUGUCAUCAUAUUCCAGAUUGAUGAAACGGAGAGAAUGAUGAAAAAAUCACCCUUCCAUCCCACAGUGACAGCCUAAUUUGAGCUAGCUCGAGUGCAUGCCGAAGUCAACCUGAUGCAGCCAGCAACGGAAGAAGAACCAAAAUGAUUGAACAAACCUAAACAACAAUUACAUUCGAAGGUCAGACCUUGAAUUUGGUGACGAAACUGCUGCAUCUUCGACGGCGCCGUCACUCCGACUUUUAUGGAAAUUGUUACGGCUUCUGCUGUCGUUGUUUCGACAAUCGCUGUAAUUACAACUGCUGGCACUGGAACGUGCAAUUGAAGGCCUUUCGAUGAGCUAAGGUUUCUGAUUGGAAUGGUGGAGUUCCAGUGGUGAAGCUAGACAAGGAAACAAGAAUGCUUUGAGAGAAUACUUCAAUUAUUAUAAUAUCAAUUCAAUUUAACAAGCUUAAUUGUUGUGCAUUGUAAGUGAGUGAAGUAAAAAGCACAAAGGAAAUUUAUCUGGGAUUAAAGGAGAAGGCUAUAGACAGAAAAGUAGACUCACAUAAUGAAAAAAAUAUUGAAGAAAGAAGACACUAGUGUUUAGAUUUAUUGGGAUAGGUAAUCAUGACACACGGGAGCUAGAUUAAGCUUGUUAUUGUUAUACUAUUUUUCACGUGAGAUCUCUUAAAUCAAGUAAUUAGUCAAAUCGGUAAUGAUACUGUAAUAAAUAAACUUCAUAAAUUGAU